AUGGGUGAUUUCAAAGUAGAAAUAGAUGUUCAGUCUUACUUGACGAUUGUAGACGAAAGAAGAGUGUACACAAGGGGCAGAACAUGGAAUUUUAUGGCCGGUCGGGGCUUGUCCAUGGCGCGGAUAAAGGAGGUUGUGGAGGAGAGGUGCAAAUGGUCUGCUGAUCAGAGAAUGACCAUUUGGUAUGGAUCCAGAGGUAACGCCGUCCCAUUGAUCUCUAAAUCAGAGAUAGCUCAAUUGUUUGAUAUAUGUCCAGACACAAAAAUAGUAAGGUUUGGUGUGACCAUUGAGAGCAAACAACAACAAAAUGAACCUACUCUUGUCAUGACCGAGGAGAUGGAUGAUCAGCCGGUUCACGCUCCAUUCUUUGCUUGGCUGAAGCAAGCCUAUGAAGGGGAGUACGAGGAUGAUGAGCUCGUGGGAUGCAAUGAGGAGAACACCUAUUUGCAUGAAGAGAAUGCUGAGUCAAAGGAGAAUCCCAAACCACAGAAAAAUGCCGAGCCAAAGGCUGCAAGAGUUCCAAUGGGAACACUGGAUGUUGACAACUCUUAUGAUCCAUAA
RNAcentral lists this ribosomal RNA (561 nucleotides) under Triticum aestivum (bread wheat). RNAcentral describes it as "partial small subunit ribosomal RNA". Lineage: Eukaryota; Viridiplantae; Streptophyta; Magnoliopsida; Poales; Poaceae. The record is from RNAcentral.